RNAcentral lists this unclassified non-coding RNA (465 nucleotides) under Hevea brasiliensis (rubber tree). Lineage: Eukaryota; Viridiplantae; Streptophyta; Magnoliopsida; Malpighiales; Euphorbiaceae. The record is from RNAcentral.
UUCUAUAUAUACCAAUCAAAUAGUCACUACAUAUUAAAUCAAAUGGUACUUAGAUGCUAUUAUAAUUAUUAAAAAUUAUAUCAAAUGUAUUCAGAUGAUCUAACACACCUCUCUUCUUGUUUUUAGGUUUAAUAUAAGGGAAUUUACUUCAUAAUUAAUAAUCUUACUUAUUAAAUAACUUAUUACCCCAAUAUAGGUGCGAAGAGCAUAAUAAUCUUUGUCAAGAUAUUGGAUAAUUUACCUAACUUUCACAUUUUUUUUAUAAAUAACAACUUGUUGAUAAUAUCUAAUGUAAGUAUCAAAUAUUCCAAUAUGAAAAAUAUGAUAAGUUAGUGGUGCAAGAGUAUUUGCUACAACAAGAAUUAUCAGCAAAAAUUUUGCAUUAACAUUAGUUUUGUUAUUUAUAAUGCUAAUAUACAGUAGCAAUAUAAGCAGUUAUCGCUAAUAGUACAUAAAAAAGAUAUG